GUGCUUAACACAUGCAAGUCGAACGGAAAGGCCCUUCGGGGUACUCGAGUGGCGAACGGGUGAGUAACACGUGGGUGAUCUGCCCUGCACUUUGGGAUAAGCCUGGGAAACUGGGUCUAAUACCGGAUAGGACCACGCGCUUCAUGGUGUGUGGUGGAAAGCUUUUGCGGUGUGGGAUGGGCCCGCGGCCUAUCAGCUUGUUGGUGGGGUAAUGGCCUACCAAGGCGACGACGGGUAGCCGGCCUGAGAGGGUGACCGGCCACACUGGGACUGAGAUACGGCCCAGACUCCUACGGGAGGCAGCAGUGGGGAAUAUUGCACAAUGGGCGCAAGCCUGAUGCAGCGACGCCGCGUGAGGGAUGACGGCCUUCGGGUUGUAAACCUCUUUCAAUAGGGACGAAGCGCAAGUGACGGUACCUAUAGAAGAAGGACCGGCCAACUACGUGCCAGCAGCCGCGGUAAUACGUAGGGUCCGAGCGUUGUCCGGAAUUACUGGGCGUAAAGAGCUCG
RNAcentral lists this ribosomal RNA (510 nucleotides) under Mycolicibacterium fortuitum. RNAcentral describes it as "bacterial SSU rRNA". It matches the Rfam family "Bacterial small subunit ribosomal RNA", at positions 44 to 571 of the family's 1533-position model. The record is from RNAcentral. Lineage: Bacteria; Bacillati; Actinomycetota; Actinomycetes; Mycobacteriales; Mycobacteriaceae.